Molecule: ribosomal RNA, 292 nt
Filed under: uncultured bacterium
Lineage: Bacteria
Description: partial 16S ribosomal RNA
Rfam family: Bacterial small subunit ribosomal RNA
Source: RNAcentral
GUGUCAGCAGCCGCGGUAAUACGGAGGAUCCAAGCGUUAUCCGGAUUUAUUGGGUUUAAAGGGUGCGUAGGCGGUUUAUUAAGUCAGUGGUGAAAGCCCGGAGCUCAACUUCGGAACUGCCAUUGAUACUGAUAGACUUGAGUACAGAUGAAGUGGGCGGAAUGUGACAAGUAGCGGUGAAAUGCUUAGAUAUGUCACAGAACACCGAUUGCGAAGGCAGCUCACUAAAGUGUAACUGACGCUGAGGCACGAAAGCGUGGGGAUCAAACAGGAUUAGAAACCCCAGUAGUCC